GCUGGGCGAGGUGGUACAUGCCUAUAGUCCCAGCUACUUGGGAGGCUGAGGCUGGAGGAUUGCUUGAGUCCAGGAGUUCCGGGCUGUAGUGUGCUAUGCCCAUCAGGUGUCCACACUAAGUUCGGCAUCAAUAUGGUGAACUCCCGGGAGCGGGGGACCACCAGGUUGCCUAAGGAGGGGUGAACCAGCCCAGGUUGGAAACAGAGCAGGUCUAAACUUCUAUGCUGAUCAGUAGUGGAAUAGCCAGUGCACUCCAGCCUGGGCAACAUAGUGAGACCCCAUCCCU
Molecule: signal recognition particle RNA, 286 nt
Filed under: Cebus imitator (Panamanian white-faced capuchin)
Lineage: Eukaryota; Metazoa; Chordata; Mammalia; Primates; Cebidae
Description: Metazoan signal recognition particle RNA (ENSCCAG00000007728.1)
Rfam family: Metazoan signal recognition particle RNA
About the family: The signal recognition particle (SRP) is a universally conserved ribonucleoprotein.
Source: RNAcentral